GUAGCCUACGGGGCGCAGCAGUGGGGGAUAUUGCACAAUGGGGGGAACCCUGAUGCAGCGACGCCGCGUGGGUGAAGAAGCGCCUCGGCGCGUAAAGCCCUGUCAGCAGGGAAGAAAAUGACGGUACCUGAAGAAGAAGCCCCGGCUAACUACGUGCCAGCAGCCGCGGUAAUACGUAGGGGGCAAGCGUUAUCCGGAUUUACUGGGUGUAAAGGGAGCGUAGGCGGCUGUGUAAGCCAGAAGUGAAAGCCCGGGGCUCAACUCCGGGACUGCUUUUGGAACUACAUGGCUUGAUUGCAGGAGAG
Molecule: ribosomal RNA, 305 nt
Filed under: uncultured bacterium
Lineage: Bacteria
Description: bacterial SSU rRNA
Rfam family: Bacterial small subunit ribosomal RNA
Source: RNAcentral